This 364-nucleotide ribosomal RNA is filed under the name Ischnodemus sp. WCW-2003c. RNAcentral's name for it is "eukaryotic LSU rRNA". It matches the Rfam family "Eukaryotic large subunit ribosomal RNA", at positions 650 to 977 of the family's 3401-position model. Lineage: Eukaryota; Metazoa; Arthropoda; Insecta; Hemiptera; Blissidae. The record is from RNAcentral.
CGUCUUGAAACACGGACCAAGGAGUCUAGCGUGUGCGCGAGUCAUUGGGUGAAAAACCUAAAGGCGCAAUGAAAGUGUCAGAGCGCGCUCCGCGCGCUCGGCGGGAGGAUGGGCUUCCCGGCACCAAGCCGGAGCCCCGCACUCCCGGGGCGUCACAUUCUCGUCCCGAGUCGAGACGCACCAGGAGCGCACACGCUGUUACCCGAAAGAUGGUGAACUAUGCUUGGCCAGGACGAAGCCAGGGGAAACCCUGGUGGAGGUCCGAAGCGAUUCUGACGUGCAAAUCGAUCGUCUGAGCUGAGUAUAGGGGCGAAAGACCAAUCGAACCAUCUAGUAGCUGGUUCCCUCUGAAGUUUCCCUCAGG